GAUCAUGGCUCAGGAUGAACGCUGGCGGCGUGCCUAACACAUGCAAGUCGAGCGAAGCACUUUGCUUAGAUUCUUCGGAUGAAGAGGAUUGUGACUGAGCGGCGGACGGGUGAGUAACGCGGUGGGUAACCUGCCUCAUACAGGGGGAUAACAGUUAGAAAUGACUGCUAAUACCGCAUAAGACCACAGCACCGCAUGGUGCGGGGUAAAACUCCGGUGGUAUGAGAUCGG
This 231-nucleotide ribosomal RNA is filed under the name uncultured bacterium. RNAcentral's name for it is "partial 16S ribosomal RNA". It matches the Rfam family "Bacterial small subunit ribosomal RNA", at positions 15 to 229 of the family's 1533-position model. The record is from RNAcentral.